CGUGGCGGGGGUGCCUAAUACAUGCAAGUCGAACGCUUUGUGGUUCAACUGAUUUGAAGAGCUUGCUCAGAUAUGACGAUGGACAUUGCAAAGAGUGGCGAACGGGUGAGUAACACGUGGGAAACCUACCUCUUAGCAGGGGAUAACAUUUGGAAACAGAUGCUAAUACCGUAUAACAAUGACAACCGCAUGGUUGUUAUUUAAAAGAUGGUUCUGCUAUCACUAAGAGAUGGUCCCGCGGUGCAUUAGCUAGUUGGUAAGGUAAUGGCUUACCAAGGCGAUGAUGCAUAGCCGAGUUGAGAGACUGAUCGGCCACAAUGGGACUGAGACACGGCCCAUACUCCUACGGGAGGCAGCAGUAGGGAAUCUUCCACAAUGGGCGAAAGCCUGAUGGAGCAACGCCGCGUGUGUGAUGAAGGGUUUCGGCUCGUAAAACACUGUUGUAAGAGAAGAAUGACAUUGAGAGUAACUGUUCAAUGUGUGACGGUAUCUUACCAGAAAGGAACGGCUAAAUACGUGCCAGCAGCCGCGGUAAUACGUAUGUUCCAAGCGUUAUCCGGAUUUAUUGGGCGUAAAGCGAGCGCAGACGGUUAUUUAAGUCUGAAGUGAAAGCCCUCAGCUCAACUGAGGAAUUGCUUUGGAAACUGGAUGACUUGAGUGCAGUAGAGGAAAGUGGAACUCCAUGUGUAGCGGUGAAAUGCGUAGAUAUAUGGAAGAACACCAGUGGCGAAGGCGGCUUUCUGGACUGUAACUGACGUUGAGGCUCGAAAGUGUGGGUAGCAAACAGGAUUAGAUACCCUGGUAGUCCACACCGUAAACGAUGAGUGCUAGGUGUUUGAGGGUUUCCGCCCUUAAGUGCCGCAGCUAACGCAUUAAGCACUCCGCCUGGGGAGUACGACCGCAAGGUUGAAACUCAAAGGAAUUGACGGGGACCCGCACAAGCGGUGGAGCAUGUGGUUUAAUUCGAAGCAACGCGAAGAACCUUACCAGGUCUUGACAUCCCUUGACAACUCCAGAGAUGGAGCGUUCCCUUCGGGGACAAGGUGACAGGUGGUGCAUGGUUGUCGUCAGCUCGUGUCGUGAGAUGUUGGGUUAAGUCCCGCAACGAGCGCAACCCUUAUUACUAGUUGCCAGCAUUCAGUUGGGCACUCUAGUGAGACUGCCGGUGACAAACCGGAGGAAGGUGGGGAUGACGUCAAAUCAUCAUGCCCCUUAUGACCUGGGCUACACACGUGCUACAAUGGCGUAUACAACGAGUUGCCAACCCGCGAGGGUGAGCUAAUCUCUUAAAGUACGUCUCAGUUCGGAUUGUAGGCUGCAACUCGCCUACAUGAAGUCGGAAUCGCUAGUAAUCGCGGAUCAGCACGCCGCGGUGAAUACGUUCCCGGGUCUUGUACACACCGCCCGUCACACCAUGAGAGUUUGUAACACCCAAAGCCGGUGGGGUAACCUUCGGGAGCCAGCCGUCUAAGGUGACAGAA
Molecule: ribosomal RNA, 1481 nt
Filed under: Weissella confusa
Lineage: Bacteria; Bacillati; Bacillota; Bacilli; Lactobacillales; Lactobacillaceae
Description: bacterial SSU rRNA
Rfam family: Bacterial small subunit ribosomal RNA
Source: RNAcentral